RNAcentral lists this ribosomal RNA (443 nucleotides) under uncultured bacterium. Its description in RNAcentral is "SSU rRNA". It matches the Rfam family "Bacterial small subunit ribosomal RNA", at positions 26 to 518 of the family's 1533-position model. The record is from RNAcentral.
AGAGCGAACGCUGGCGGCAGGCCUAACACAUGCAAGUCGAGCGCCCCGCAAGGGGAGCGGCAGACGGGAGAGUAACACGUGGGAACGUACCCUUCAGUUCGGAACAACCCAGGGAAACUUGGGCUAAUACCGGAUACGUCCGUAAGGAGAAAGAUUUAUCGCUGAAGGAUCGGCCCGCGUCUGAUUAGCUUGUUGGUGAGGUAACGGCUCACCAAGGCUACGAUCAGUAGCUGGUCUGAGAGGAUGAUCAGCCUCACUGGGACUGAGACACGGCCCAGACUCCUACGGGAGGCAGCAGUGGGGAAUAUUGGACAAUGGGCGCAAGCCUGAUCCAGCCAUGCCGCGUGGGUGAUGAAGGCCCUAGGGUUGUAAAGCCCUUUCGGCGGGGAAGAUAAUGACGGUACCCGCAGAAGAAGCCCCGGCUAACUCGCGCCAGCAGCCGC